CGUUUUACCACUUUCAGCGUGGGUAAAUGGGAAGUGGUGUAAAAUUAAUAGCACCGACCGCAAACUAUGCUUAAUUUAUCUCGUUAGAUUAAUCUGUAAAAAUCAAACUUGAACAGGCAGUGGCAAACAAGUGAAGGUCAAAGUGCAACGUGGAAAAUCCCUGCUCAAAAAUGACAAUUUUCUGAAAAUGUACUUACCUUCAGGUCAUCCAUCAUGGAGCCUUCCCUGGAUUUAUCGCUUGUCGUGGAAUAACCCUUUGUCGUGCUGUUUCGGACUCUGUUCACCUCUCGUUUGGACUAUUAUCUGUCUGUUUGGUUUACCCGAUUGAUCCUCGCCCAUUACUAGAUUACUCUUGUGUCUUGCCUUGUUUGUAUCUGUUUGCUGGUGUCGACCCUGCCUGUUUUUGACCAUGUCUCUGUUUAAUAAA
Molecule: long non-coding RNA, 427 nt
Organism: Labeo rohita (rohu)
Lineage: Eukaryota; Metazoa; Chordata; Actinopteri; Cypriniformes; Cyprinidae
Exons: 3
Source: RefSeq, a predicted model, not a curated record